GACGAACGCUGGCGGCGUGCUUAACACAUGCAAGUCGAGCGGUAAGGCUCUUCGGGGUACACGAGCGGCGAACGGGUGAGUAACACGUGGGUGACCUGCCCUUAGCUCUGGGAUAAGCCUGGGAAACUGGGUCUAAUACCGGAUAUGACCUCAUGACGCAUGUUGUGGGGUGAAAGCCUUGUGCGGCUAGGGAUGGGCCCGCGGCCUAUCAGCUUGUUGGUGGGUGAUGGCCUACCAAGGCGACGACGGGUAGCCGGCCUGAGAGGGCGACCGGCCACACUGGGACUGAGACACGGCCCAGACUCCUACGGGAGGCAGCAGUGGGGAAUCUUGCGCAAUGGGCGAAAGCCUGACGCAGCGACGCCGCGUGAGGGAUGACGGCCUCGGU
Molecule: ribosomal RNA, 388 nt
Filed under: uncultured bacterium
Lineage: Bacteria
Description: bacterial SSU rRNA
Rfam family: Bacterial small subunit ribosomal RNA
Source: RNAcentral